UCAUGGCUCAGGACAAACGCUGGCGGCGUGCUUAACACAUGCAAGUCGAACGGAGUACCCGGAAUUGAAGCUUCGGCCGAUUUUCUGGAAUACUUAGUGGCGGACGGGUGAGUAACACGUGAGUAACCUGCCCUUGAGUGGGGAAUAACACACCGAAAGGUGUGCUAAUACCGCAUAACAUAUGGAGUUCGCAUGAACAUCAUAUCAAAGAUUUAUUGCUCAAGGAUGGGCUCGCGUCCGAUUAGGUAGUUGGUGAGGUAACGGCUCACCAAGCCGACGAUCGGUAGCCGGACUGAGAGGUUGAACGGGCCAACAUUGGGACUGAGACACGGCCCAGACUCCUACGGGAGGCAGCAGUGGGGAAUAUUGCACAAUGGGGGAAACCCUGAUGCAGCGACGCCGCGUGAAGGAUGAAGGUCUUCGGAUCGUAAACUUUUGUCUUCAGGGACGAUAAUGACGGUACCUGAGGAGGAAGCCACGGCUAACUACGUG
Molecule: ribosomal RNA, 492 nt
Filed under: uncultured bacterium
Lineage: Bacteria
Description: bacterial SSU rRNA
Rfam family: Bacterial small subunit ribosomal RNA
Source: RNAcentral